AGCACUUGAGUAGGUCUUGCACGAAAAAGAAGGAAAGGACGGUCAUGUUUUUAGGUUGCAGUAGAAACAGCGGACAUUCUACCUUUUCCCUGCGCUACUUGUCUAUCUGCUCUGCUUUAUCCGCGUUGGUUGGCUGCUGCACACAUCUCUGCCACUCAGGCCCCUACGACCAUACCCACAGCGGAAACAUACAGCUGGAAAGGGGAGGCGAGAACAGCCAUCGAGCAGAAAGCCGCUCGCCCGAUCGCCCCUGCCCCUGUGUCAUUUGAUUCAAUGGAUACGAGCGCACGCCGGUGUUUCUUGGAGGUGUACACAGACGGGUGCGAUGAGCCCCGUCUGCUGCAGCUGGAGCCGACGGUCAAGUUCCACAAUGUGCUAAGGCGCUUCGACGAGGAUGGUGACCUGUACUGGGGUGACCACCGCAUCGACCCACAGACGACCCCCGUUGCCGUGGGCAUGGACUGCGGGGUCGACAAGGCGAAUACGCUGUGGUUCAUUCCAGCCCUGUCACGCACGAAGCCCUGCGGCGUUUCGCGCGUUGACUCCACUGCGCCCUUGGAUUCGCCGCCGCGGGUAGACGCCACCGAAGGCCCGGCACUCCGUUCUGCUCGCGGCACGUCGCUUCCUGCCUACUUCGACGAUCGCGCCGCUCCUUGGCACAGCAGCGGCCACCAUGCAGAGCGCGGUUCGCUCAUUGGAGCGCGGAUGUGGUCGGCGUCAGCAGCGACAACACCGUCGUGGUACUCUCGACCGCGGCUCUUGUCUCCGGUGCCACUGUCGCUUCCUCGACCGACGGUGAGGCUACCACACACGCAGGCUCACGGCAGCGAGAAAAUCGCGCCCAUGCGCCGCCUGUACGCUGCGCCGGUCCCACGUGUGCCAUCGCCGCCGCACUCCGCCGUCCCGGUUCGGCGCAACGCACCCGUAUGCAUAGAUCCUCAUGUUCUUGUCGACGAUACCUUUGACGCCGUCCAGGCGCUCCAGACAGAGCUGCGGCACUUAAGCAGCGAGAUACGAGCGAUGCGACUUCGCGACCUUCUUGAUUACAGCAGCGUGACGCCGAUGCGUCAGGUUGUAGUGAGGCCCCCCGGCAUGGACGCUGCGCCGGCGUUGGCGUCACCAAUUUGCCUCUCGAUGGCGGAGCCCAGUGUGGAGGAGCUGGCGACGGAGCUGCACCACAAGCAGAUGCACCGACUUUACGAACAACGCCACUUGUACAUCACCCACGACUUCCACGUGUAGGCGCGUCACCGACAAGGCCAUAGUGCGCGCAUGGCGCGCUGGCCUUGGCUUGUGUUUUCGUCGCCGUUCCUUGUGCCAAAAAAAAAACCUUCCCGGGCGGGAAACGGCCGCUUGGUUUCCCCGCCACGCCAGGCGCCGUUUCAGCCAGCCCCGAAAGCCCCUGCCCCUCCCCGCGAGGCCCAGGGCCCCUCCCCCAAGGGGCG
Molecule: unclassified non-coding RNA, 1445 nt
Filed under: Leishmania donovani
Lineage: Eukaryota; Euglenozoa; Kinetoplastea; Trypanosomatida; Trypanosomatidae
Description: gene:LdHU3.32.1820(CDS-product:hypothetical_prote in_conserved)
Source: RNAcentral